ACAAAAAAAGCCCAGUUGGAGGCCCAAAGAACUUGUUACAUUUAGAAUGGUUCAAAAGAAACUGGUACACCAAGUGGAACCCUACACCUGAUCUUUUCUGUUGACAUGGCACUAAUCCAUUAACGUGCCAAGACAACACCCACUCUUGAACUGAAGAGGACACGCACAAACAGGGCAUCCGAUGAGAAUAAUACUCGUAUAUAGUUGGUUUCCCACGGACAACCUAUUCACCAGGUCCCAUCCAUCCUCUCUCUUUCGCUCUACUCUUUCUCUCUCUGAAAUGUUAGAUACACAUGACAUGUACUAGAGAGCUCAUCAGCAUGUUCUUCAAACUCGAAGCCGAAAACAUCUUAUAAACAAUUAAUAACAACUUUAAACGUAAGUCCAUUCUCAUCACUUCAAUUUUUUAUAAUUCGUUUGAUUUUUUGUCUAUUUAGUUUGGUUAAUUAUCUGUUUAUGUUUGAUACUCUAUUUAUUCAAAUUAAUAUUACACUGUAGUUCAUAAGGGUUUCUAGCAUCAAAACUAGGUUUUAAGAGCUAGCUCCUUUUUCACUUGAUUAUUAUUGUUGAUUAUAUACAUGCAUAGUUGUAUGUGUAUAUAUGCUUUGUUUUGUUCUGUGUAGAGCAAGGUUGUGGUCAAAUUAGAUGCCGAUGAAUAUAAUUCAUGUAGGCCGUGGAUCUCCCAAAGUUAUAUUGUCUGAGCCCACGGGAUCGACGGCUGAGGUGCUUCUGUAUGGCGGGCAGGUUAUUUCUUGGAAGAAUGAACAAAGAGAACUGCUUUUUACAAGCAGCAAGGUGAAUCAAUUCUUUUUACCCGAGGAAUUUAAAUUUAAUUAUAUUACAGUUAACAACCAUUUUGACAUCUAAUGCCCAGAUGGUUCGUUUUUUAUGUGCUAGAAUUCUGAAAAUGCUCAUUACCGGCCUUUUGAUUUUGAAUUACCCAUGUCUUCUCCUUAUGAAUUUUAAGAAUUGUGUUUUUUCCACUUAAGAGCUAGAAGUUGAAUUUUAUUUUAUAUAAUUUGAAUUUGACACAAGAGACCAUUGCUUUAUAUGGUAGUAAAAGCACAGGCUAGCAGACCUGAGAGUACAAGUUUGGGCUGACACUCUCCAAUCCCGCUCAAUUAAUAUCUAAUAGAUAUUAUUUUGUUAUUCUUGCUGUAGUUCAAUUUUCACAACCUCUAUUGAGGGAAAAUAAUGUAACUAUUGCCCUCACAUAAAGCUUUUAGUUUUCGUGAGUAUUGUAAUGAAGCUAGAUUUUCCAACAUUAAUUAACAUAAUAGUAAAUAGUAUAAUGUGAUUAUUCAUUUUAAGAUAUGUAUUGUGGAUUGUAGAAUCCUUGUUAAAAUGAUGCGGAACUAUACUUAAAGAUCUUUAGAUUAUACACUCUAGACUAUCUAGUAAGUUAACUAUUAGAAAAGGGAACAUGAAUCUUCACAUGUAUAUGCAUAUUUUCUAUUUCAUGGUUUACUAAUCUUUAUGUUUCACUUUAGUACUACUUAUCAAAAAAACAUUUCUCUUUUGUAUUAAUUGAAACCCUAAUCUAAUCUUGUUUGAAGCAGCAAACCAAGUUUGCAAUUGUUUACAACUGUCCUUGUUUGAGUUACUAACACUCAGCUACUACAUAAGAGUUCUUGCUAUGUUCCACAAGCUGUUUGGAAACCACCUAAAUCCAUCAGGGGAGGUAUACCCAUCUGCUUCCCGCAGGUUGGCUGAUGACAAAAUUAACAAUAAUAUUGCUUUUGUAUUCGUAGCAUACAUAGAUAUUACGUGAAUAUUCCAGUUUGCAAAUUUUGGUUCACUGGAGCAACAUGGAUUUGCAAGGAAUAGAUUGUGGUCGCCGGACAACUGUCCUCCUUUGACUCCCGCUAAUAAUCAAUCUUAUUCUGAAGUCUACUGAAGAGUCUGAAAAUUUGGCCACAUAAGUAUGAAUUGUAUGGUAUUAUAAUGUAUUAUAAUAAUGUGCUAGUAUAUCAUUACUUAUUUAGACAUUAAAAAAAUAUAUACGGUGUUUUCUGCAGAUUUGAGUUGCGGCUUCAUAUUUCUCUUAGUGCUGGCAAGCUCACUCUGAUUCCUGUGUGAGAAAUGUGGAUAACAAGGACUUCUCAUUCACGUUCCCACUGCAUAAUUACUUAUCUGUUUCGAAUAUCAGGUUUGCCAAGUAUUUACCUUCUUUUUUUCCCAACUGCAACGAUUAUGGUGUCAUUCUGUUCUUUUUUUUUUUCUUCUCCCCGGUAAAACCUCCCUGUCAUCGUGAUAGUAACUGAGUUUGCAAUUACCUUUGAUGAUGAGGUACCAUGUAGCAUGUACUCUGCUUUUGUUCUCAAUAUGGUGUGUUUUCACAAUUGGCAAAUUAGGAUUGAACUCGGGACCUUGGGAUUGCAUAUUAACUACCAUAGAAUAAGUUAAAGGUUCUAUAUUUUAUCUAGUUUUUAGUGAUUUGGAAUUAAGAUUUUCUUAAUAUUUGAACUUUCUCAACCAUUUUUAAAGUUGUAUUGUUUUUUGGCCUUUAGAUCGAUCGAGUGUAUUUGAGCACACCACCAAAGAUUGCAAUAAUAGACCACGAGAAGAAGAGAACCUUUGUACUGCGUAAAGAAGGCAUGCCUGAUGCAGGUUUAUAUUGUUAUACUUGUAUUAGAGCUCCGUUAUUGUCACAAGCUUCAUUUGUAUUCCUGAUGCAGGUUUACGUUGUUAUACUCGUUUUAGAGCUCUUUUGUUGUCAGUCUCGAUUUCUCUUUCUUGCUUGCUCAUACGUGAAUUUCAUGUGGUGGAUGUACAAUUUUAUGGAAUCCCUGGGACAAAAAGGCCAAGGCUCUCCCAGAUUUGGGCGAUGAAGAUUACAAAACUAUGUUAAUGGAAGAGCCAUCAAGAGCUCACUACUGUGUCAUCUAGUUAUUGCAAUGGGCAGCUGGACCCUCGCAAUGUUCUCGGCUUUUGCUGAUCUCUUGCAUGAAUUAAAUAAAUGGGGUUCUGUAAUUUUAGAACAGUCUAAUUUAGUGUACAACAUACAUGCACUUGCUCGACUGCAUAUAAGCAUUGUUGUGUCCAGCUGAACGUAAUAUAUAGUAAUAAGCAUCCAAGAGUCACAGGCUUAUCAAUGAGAACAUCCUCGUCUUGCCUUUUGUAACAGUGAGGAACGCACGGUUGGUACCAAAUGUGACUUGAUCAACUGCCUCUUUGUAAUUGUGACGAUUGCCUCUUUAUUUUUUGAAUCGUAAAAUUGUUGAA
Molecule: long non-coding RNA, 3225 nt
Organism: Cornus florida
Lineage: Eukaryota; Viridiplantae; Streptophyta; Magnoliopsida; Cornales; Cornaceae
Exons: 2
Source: RefSeq, a predicted model, not a curated record